AUUGAACGCUGGCGGCAUGCCUUACACAUGCAAGUCGAACGGUAACAGGUCUUCGGAUGCUGACGAGUGGCGUACGGGUGAGUAAUACAUCGGAACGUGCCCGAACGUGGGGGCUAACGCGGCGAAAGCUUUGCUAAUACUGCAUACGAUCUACGGAUGAAAGCGGGGGGUCUUCGGACCUCGCGCGGGAGGAUCGGUCGAUGGCAGAUUAGGUAGUUGGUGGGAUAAAAGCUUACCAAGCCGACGAUCUGUAGCUGGUCUGAGAGGAUGAUCAGCCACACUGGGACUGAGACACGGCCCAGACUCCUACGGGAGGCAGCAGUGGGGAAUUUUGGAGAAUGGGCGAAAGCCUGAUCCAGCCAUGCCGCGUGCAGGAUGAAGGCCUUCGGGUUGUAAACUGCUUUUGUACGGAACGAAAAGCCUCUUUCUAAUAAAGAGGGGUCAUGACGGUACCGGAAGAAUAAGCACCGGCUAACUACGUG
RNAcentral lists this ribosomal RNA (482 nucleotides) under uncultured bacterium. RNAcentral describes it as "partial 16S ribosomal RNA". It matches the Rfam family "Bacterial small subunit ribosomal RNA", at positions 30 to 507 of the family's 1533-position model. The record is from RNAcentral.